AGCUAUCACUGCCAAUCUAUCGCUGCUAAUCUAUCGCUGCCAACCUAUCUACCGCGGCGAAUCUAUCUAUCACUGCCAAUUUAUCUACCACUGCCAAUCUAUCUAUCGCUGCCAAUCUAUCGCUGCUAAUCUAUCGCUGCUAAUCUAUUGCUGCUGCCAAUCUAUCUAUCACUGCUAAUCUAUUGCUGCUAAUCUAUCACUGCUAAUCUAUCGCUGCUAAUCUAUCGCUGCUAAUCUAUCGCUGCUAAUCUAUCGCUGCUAAUCUAUCGCUGCUAAUCUAUCGCUGCCAACCUAUCUACCGCGGCGAAUCUAUCUAUUGCUGCCAACCAACCUACCACUGCCAACCUAUCUAUCGCUGCCAAUCUAUCGCUGCCAAUCUAUCGCUGCCAAUCUAUCGCUGCCAACCUAUCUACUGCAGUGAAUCUAUCUAUCACUAUCAUUACUAGUUCAAAAUAGAACUAGAGCAUAAAUACACUAAACUUCUUUUGAUAGGUAAUGAUUUUUGGUAAUGCUCAUAGCAUUAUAUCAUCUAUAUAGGGUAAAUCAUGGUCCCAUUUGGUCCCAUUUUAACAAAAUGGGACCAAAUGAGAUCAGAAUCAGUAAUUUAUAAGAAGAACAUGACCUGAGACUAGAUUUAUAAUAUAAACAGUGUAAAGUGACUAAUUUAAUAAACACUAUAUGAGACC
Molecule: small RNA, 686 nt
Filed under: Histoplasma ohiense
Lineage: Eukaryota; Fungi; Ascomycota; Eurotiomycetes; Onygenales; Ajellomycetaceae
Description: hypothetical lncRNA
Source: RNAcentral